GUCUUUUAAAUUAACGCUGUUUGGUUGUUAAAAAUACAUGUUGUUUUUAAACGAAUCCGAGUCUUUGACUCGUUGGUCGCCACCUACCGGUAUAGUGACGUAACCUACAGAAAGAUUCGUUUAGGUGAACAUGUUUAAAGGAUUCAUUUCAUUCGGAUAAUCAAAAUAAUAGAGGACACAGUCAUUCGACUCCCGAGUCCCGAAUCAGUCGAACGUUACUUUGAAUCAGACUACUUUGUGCAUUAAAACGCUAAUGGUUAUUAUCAACAUCGUUGUAUAAUGCCUCAGAAGUGAUAUCGUUUCAUAUAACUUUAAUUAUUUUUUAUUUGUUAACAAUCUUUGUUGCCAUCAUGCAUUAUGGCUUGUUUUCAUUAGCUAUGGCUCGAGACACGACAACGUCACUGAUGCCGAAACGAAACAGCACAUGAAAGUUUCUGACAGCUCAAAGCUCAUGAAUAUUUAAUGAGGGGAGAAUAAGAGUGGACCCCACUGAUAUUUCACCCCCUCCUGCCCUGCCGUUAAGAACAAUGUGGGAGCUCCUUUAUGUGUGAAUGACUCCGUCCCCACAUUCACUAUCUCUCAUAACCUGCAGGACAAACAAAGAGCCAAGCACUUCCUAUUGAUUGCUUCAGUGAAGGUGGGGUGUGAAGCAAUUUCUCCAAGGAGGAAGUUGCUCCUCAAAAAAGCUGAAUGAGAAAGUAUUGGCAUUUCAAAAAUUUACAUAAAUUCAACCAAAUGAUACAUAAAAAAAAAAAUCUCUCUCUUGAGGUUAUUGCAUUCUUAUAUUGUCAGUAAUAUUAGCAGUCAUUUUAUUUCUUAUGUACACUAUUAUUUAAAAGUU
Carassius auratus (goldfish) is the source of this 841-nucleotide long non-coding RNA. RefSeq lists it as uncharacterized. Lineage: Eukaryota; Metazoa; Chordata; Actinopteri; Cypriniformes; Cyprinidae. The record is from RefSeq and is a predicted model, not a curated record. The transcript has 3 exons.